AAUGCCGGAUGCUCCAUCACACCGCAUGGUGUGUUGGGAAAGCCUUUGCGGCAUGGGAUGGGGUCGCGUCCUAUCAGCUUGAUGGCGGGGUAACGGCCCACCAUGGCUUCGACGGGUAGCCGGCCUGAGAGGGCGACCGGCCACAUUGGGACUGAGAUACGGCCCAGACUCCUACGGGAGGCAGCAGUGGGGAAUAUUGCACAAUGGGCGCAAGCCUGAUGCAGCGACGCCGCGUGAGGGAUGGAGGCCUUCGGGUUGUAAACCUCUUUUGUUAGGGAGCAAGGCAUUUUGUGUUGAGUGUACCUUUCGAAUAAGCACCGGCUAACUACGUGCCAGCAGCCGCGGUAAUACGUAGGGUGCAAGCGUUAUCCGGAAUUAUUGGGCGUAAAGGGCUCGUAGGCGGUUCGUCGCGUCCGGUGUGAAAGUCCAUCGCUUAACGGUGGAUCCGCGCCGGGUACGGGCGGGCUUGAGUGCGGUAGGGGAGACUGGAAUUCCCGGUGUAACGGUGGAAUGUGUAGAUAU
RNAcentral lists this ribosomal RNA (522 nucleotides) under Bifidobacterium breve. Its description in RNAcentral is "bacterial SSU rRNA". It matches the Rfam family "Bacterial small subunit ribosomal RNA", at positions 165 to 697 of the family's 1533-position model. The record is from RNAcentral. Lineage: Bacteria; Bacillati; Actinomycetota; Actinomycetes; Bifidobacteriales; Bifidobacteriaceae.